AUACAGAGGGUGCGAGCGUUAAUCGGAAUUACUGGGCGUAAAGCGCGCGUAGGUGGAUGUUUAAGUCGAAUGUGAAAGCCCUAGGCUCAACCUGGGAACUGCAUUCGAUACUGGGCAUCUAGAGUAUGGUAGAGGGAAGUGGAAUUUCCGGUGGAGUGGUGAAAUGCGUAGAUAUCGGAAGGAACACCAGUGGCGAAGGCGGCUUCCUGGACCAAUACUGACACUGAGGUGCGAAAGCGUGGGGAGCAAACAGGAUUAGAAACCCCAGUAGUCC
RNAcentral lists this ribosomal RNA (274 nucleotides) under uncultured bacterium. Its description in RNAcentral is "partial 16S ribosomal RNA". It matches the Rfam family "Bacterial small subunit ribosomal RNA", at positions 523 to 796 of the family's 1533-position model. The record is from RNAcentral.